UAAUUGUUGCAGAUAAUUUUAUAAUCUAUAUCAUUCACCUGCAGACUUAAUUUACUAUAGUGGGCUUGUUAUGAUUGGUUAUUUAAUUGUCAUAUCCUUGCACAUCAUUAUCAUUAUUUAUUCUUGAGUUGGUAUUAUAAUUCUGUAUCCCUAUAUAUGCAUUCUGAUAUCUUUGUAUGCUUCUGGACAGAAAAACCAUUUGUCUGGCUUGCACAAACCUUAUUUCAAGCUAUCUUUUGACACGGUUCAACAAUUAAUGAAUGUGAAGAGUGACCUAUAGCAUGUCGUUCAAAGAAACCAGGAAAAAUUUGAUGCUGCAGAAGCAUAUGAGUCCAUUAUAGCAGGGAAAAGAGAACAAAGGCCUCAAGAUUUUGUAGACUGUAUUGUUGAUCUCCAGACACUGAGAAAUUCAUGACUCAGAUGUACGAUGUGGGCAAUGGUAUGACGUUAGUGUAUCCAGUACUGGUCUUAUGCUGGAAAUGAGGACAGAUCUUUUGCAACGUGCUGAAGUGCAUGUUUGUGCAUUUGAUAUUGAGACUACAAAGCUUCCUUUGAAAUUUCCUGAUGCUGAAUACGAUUUACUAAUGAUGAUUUCGUACAUGGUUGAUGGACAAGGGUACCUGAUUAUUAACAGAGAGCUUUCCUGAUAAGAAAAGAGUUGGGGGAGAUAACGUGGAUAGUUCCUUUGAAGCCUCAGACCGAAUAAAGAUGGAUAUGGGGCACUUAGAGGACCAUAUCAAAACCAAUAAGAAGCAAUCCCCUAAGGCUGAAGUUCAAAAUUCUUUAAAGCAAGAGAUUCUACAACUUGAGAAGAGAUUACAAGACCAAUUUGAGGUCCGCCGGGCUUUGGAAAAUGCAAUGGGAUAUAGGUCUUGCUCUCAGGAUAAUACAACUGGAACAGUAAUGCCCAAGCCAGCCACAGAGUUAAUAAAGGAAAUUGCAGUGUUAGAGUUGGAAGUAGUGUAUUUGGAGC
Molecule: long non-coding RNA, 973 nt
Organism: Quercus robur (English oak)
Lineage: Eukaryota; Viridiplantae; Streptophyta; Magnoliopsida; Fagales; Fagaceae
Exons: 7
Source: RefSeq, a predicted model, not a curated record